Molecule: transfer RNA, 68 nt
Filed under: Marmota monax (woodchuck)
Lineage: Eukaryota; Metazoa; Chordata; Mammalia; Rodentia; Sciuridae
Description: tRNA.Ala
Source: RNAcentral
GGAUUGUGGCUCAGUGGUACAGUGCCUGCCUGGCAUGUGUGAGGCACUGGGUUUGAUCCUCAGCACCA